This 1018-nucleotide long non-coding RNA is filed under the name Chloebia gouldiae (Gouldian finch). RNAcentral describes it as "Erythrura gouldiae (Gouldian finch) lncRNA (ENSEGOG00005016803.1)". Lineage: Eukaryota; Metazoa; Chordata; Aves; Passeriformes; Passeridae. The record is from RNAcentral.
CUCAUCCGCAGCCCCGGGAGGCGCGGCUGGGCCACGGGGACCCGCUCUGCCCGCAGGGGCGUCCCUCCGCGCUGCUGCAGCCCCGCCGUGUCCCUGCGUACCCCUCAGAGACGUGGAGCGCCUGAGGGCUCGGCAGGGAGGCGGGAUGUGGCUGUGCCCGCAGGGCUGUGGUGCCCCUCUCCCCACGGAGCAGGAUGGAAGGAAACGCCCCAGGGAGCGCCGCUGGAACACUGGAAGGGAUCGAGCCAACCGUGCCAGGCUCUGGCUGCUGGAAAACUCAGAUCCUGUUGCUUCUGGGAAAACCUCAGAGGAUGAGCAGGAGCAGCUCCAGGCUGCUGCAGCUUCUCCUGGUGGGCAGCAUUCCCAAGGAGGGGAAACGCCGAGUCCUGCCCCGCUGAGCUGCCAAAGGAGCUCAAAUCCAAGGAUUUAAUGCCCACGGAGCACUGCGCAACCCCCAGACCCCUUCCAACAGUUCCACCUUGGAUAAACAGCCCCAAAAUCCACCUGCGGCGUGUCCGGAGGUUCCCUGCCCAAAUUUUGGGCUUGGCAGAGGAGCGGGAGACUCAGGGUCGGGGCAGACCGCAGGGAUCAGGAUUUGUUUUAGCUGGAGGAUUAUUGGGAUAUUUUUAGGAGUCCAGUCGCCAUCUGCCGGCAAACUCUGGCUCUUGGGUGGGAAUUUGGGGAAAAGUUCCGGAUUUAAGGCAGGUUCUCUGACUCCCUGUGUGAAAAAUGUGGGUUUUUUAGGAUGCUGAAGGGGCAGUUAAUUUUUGAGCGAGGAAAAGGAAAAGCAAGUCCCACCCCAAAAACCUUUGUGUGGCUCGGAGCUCAAAGGACAACAUUGGAGUGGUGAAUAUCUUGGAUAUAGAUGAGAAAGGUUUAAGAAAUUAUGGGCACUUGGGGAAUUUUGGAUGUUUCUGAAGGCUAGAGUUGAUCCUUGUGCUCCGUAAGAGCAGCUUUGGGCUUAAAUGAAGAGGCACAAAUUGGAUGGAAGGACACAUGUACUCCUGGAUGUCUGCAG